RNAcentral lists this ribosomal RNA (108 nucleotides) under uncultured bacterium. Its description in RNAcentral is "partial 16S ribosomal RNA". It matches the Rfam family "Bacterial small subunit ribosomal RNA", at positions 1379 to 1482 of the family's 1533-position model. The record is from RNAcentral.
CCUUGUACACACCGCCCGUCAAGUCAUGGGACGUUGGGAGUACCCGAAGUCCGUUUAGCUAACCUGCAAAGGAGGCGGCGGCCGACGGUAAGCCCGAUGACUGGGACU